GUGGCGCCUCUUGGGAGGGGGUGCGCCUCACACAGAAAACCACGCGGCUCCGUUGUACAGACAGACACGAAAGCCAUUUUCUGCCUUAUUACCGCUCGAUCUCCGCCCCUCUGCGGGGGUGCCACGGCGAAAAUGCUCCGUUGUACAGCUCUUGUUCAACUUCGGGUCCUGUGUCUGACGAUGCUGCCUGACGGCGGCGCGCUCACGCCGGCGCUCCGUAAGUUGGGCUACACCCCGUACACCCUGCGCUCCACGUACCAGCAGGGCCACGCCAGCACCCACCCUAUCGAGUGGUCCCAGCUGCUGGAUGGCAAAACAAAUGCGUUGCCUGCCAAGGUGCUGGCGGACUACGACGCCGUCGUCGGCCCACCGGGUGCCAUGGUGUACGACGUGCUGCUACGCCAGGCACCGAGCUACACCAAGGUAAUCCUGGUCGAGGAGACGGAGAAAGAUAAGUGGGCAGAGAAGUACGACACAUAUCUGGAGCGCUUGCAGAUCUCGACGAAGCGCGCCUCGAAGAAUCGAAUAACGCAGGCCUUUCAGAACAUGAUCGCCAAGAUGGUCGUUGGUGGCGAUGCAUCAGGAGCGCCGGCGGCGGCCUCGGCUGGUCCUAGGUCGUCUCUGAGCACGAGACACUCUCGGAGCCACAUGAUAUCCUCCUCCGGUGACCUGCGCCGCUCCUUCGCUGCGGAGGCGGCGGAGUUGAAGCGAGGUUUUUGUGGCAGCAAGGCGCCCUCCCCCACAUCUGCGAGUGACCCUAGCGAGGAUUCUCGCGGCACGGCAAAGGCAAGACACGCAAAGAAGGAGAGCAACGCGAGUGAUGGCGAACUGCAGCAUCCGCGCGCUGUCGCGCUGCAGUUGUAUGAGGAGAGUGUGCGAGUGUCGAUUCCGCCCUCUGCGUUGCUUGUGUACCGCUACGGCGACGGCUGGGAGCCGCUCUGCUCCUUCCUCGACAAGCCCGUUCCCUCCAUCCCCUUCCCUGAGUACGAGGAUGGACUUCGUGUCCUCGGGAACCUGCAGGAGCGAAUCGAUCGGGCACACACAUUGCAGUAUGUGGUGGGCGGCAUCUGUGUUCUGUGCGUCCUGAUGACGGUGCUGCCGCGUUGCGAGGGUAUUGUGGAGUUUGUGAAAAGCCUGUACACGGACUACCAAGUGGCAUUCGGCGCUGACAGUGCCGCAUGCGCUAGGACGACGGCCGGAGGCGGUUGCUCGAAAACGGAGGUAGAGACGUUUGAGACCGCGUGGCAGAAACGUGGCGGCUCUGUGACGCGCACCGCGAAGGAGUGAGGGAGUCCGGUGAAAUCGCUUCUGUAUACUUGUGCGUGUCUACAAUGGAAAAGCGAACUGGAGGCGGUGGUGGUGUGAUUGGGGCAACUGUUCACACAAUGCGUAAUCCAGCAAG
RNAcentral lists this unclassified non-coding RNA (1402 nucleotides) under Leishmania donovani. RNAcentral's name for it is "gene:LdHU3.31.0730(CDS-product:hypothetical_prote in_conserved)". The record is from RNAcentral. Lineage: Eukaryota; Euglenozoa; Kinetoplastea; Trypanosomatida; Trypanosomatidae.